Molecule: non-coding RNA, 1586 nt
Organism: Camelina sativa (false flax)
Lineage: Eukaryota; Viridiplantae; Streptophyta; Magnoliopsida; Brassicales; Brassicaceae
Source: RefSeq, a predicted model, not a curated record
AGAACCAAGAGAAGAAUUACAAAGAGUUCAAAACAAAAGAUGCCAGCAGAAAAAGGAAUAGUAUGUCCAAACUCCAAAAAUAAUUUAGAACGGUGGACGCAUUUAUUCGAAGCAGAUAAAAUCAGAGCAACUCCACUCUCUCCACUGACCAAAAUAGACUGGCUUCUUGCCUCAUUUAUCAUCGCCCUGCAAAUAGAUGCGGGCUUAGCUCUCCAAAUGCAGCGCCUUUAUAUUGCUCCAUCAUAUGGACACUAUACAAAUGCGGAAGUCUUUGGAAUGGAUUCACCGCGAUCAAGAUGUUUCCGGUCAAAACGGCAAUCAAGAUUGUGGAGGACCCCUGGCUCAUGGAGGUAAGCCAGUUUAGUCAUGUCGUCAACUCCUGCAGGCGGUGCCUCUGUAUCCUUUGGAUAUAUACUAGAAAUACUAGCAACAACCUGGAAAAGGUCCAUGUGACUAUUUUGGCAUUGGUGCCUAUGAUUUCAAUCACUUCUCCACUAAUCCAUGCGAGUUCUGGAUCCUCGACCCAGACAUGUGACCCGAGUGUGAUAUUUACUGGAGUCCCCUAUUUAUCAAAACAAGCCUUUCAAUAGUCUCAUCUUAGAAAAAAAGAUAGAAUAUGCAGCAGAAAGUUCUUGGGAAGGCUUACCAUAUUUCAGAGCCUGCAGCAGUUGAAGUAAAGAGAAGGUAAUUUAGAUAGAGAAGAUUGAGCUCUUUGAGGGAGAGAGAGAGACUGAGAUGAAUCACAAAAAGAAAUGAAAAGGCGACUCUGAAUCCAAGAAAAGCCACAGGAUAUUCUUAUCUAGAAUAUGACCUUUCCCUCACCUCUAAUCUCCUCCAAGUCUUUUCACUGUUUUUGCAGGUUUUAGAGCUUAAGAUGCAGCAAUGGCGGCAAAUCAACUUCUUUCAGAUAUUCUCUCUUGGGUCAUUUGCUUUGAAAACCAUGCUUGAGCUUAAGGUCACUCUACAUAUUUUUCUCCUUUUCAAAGCUUUAUGAUGCUUCCUUUUGAGUAUGAAUGGGGUCCUCGUAGGUUAAAAAGAAUGUGAAAUUGCUGCUUUUAGAACUUUAAAGUUGUCUGCUUUACAUUUUGAUAUUGCUACUGCACCAACUUUUUCACUUGAUCGACCAUAGCCAGGUACUGUUUAGCUGUGAAAGUGAGCGUUUUUUUCUCUUUUUCGUUAAAGACAAUAAUGCCCUUUUACGUUUGGUUUCCAUCUCUUGCAGAGCCAAAAGGCUCAAGGGACUUGUCUUGGACGUGCUUAAACUUGAAGUCAUCACCUUAAAAAAGUGUAAAACUUUUGUCAAAUAUGAUUGAGAGUUGCAGAUAUAUUUUAAACUUUGUGUGUGAAGGUAAUGGCCGGUGGAGAAUCUCCGGUGGCUGUUGAGGCCGGUGGCCAUUUGGAUUAACUUUUCCAGCUAGACUUGGCUUUUCAUUUCUUUCUCAUUUUUUUAUUUAUGGUCGAAAGUGUUUAGUAUAUAGCUGUCAUAUUUUUGCUAUAUUCCUUGAUCCAACAACAUCAUGAUUACAUGUGCAACCCUGUGUUUUAGUUUAUUUCUUAAAUUAAAUAAAAGAUCUCUCCUAGUAUCU